GAAAAAAUCACCAAACUUUUUCACUAUCUUGAAUCCUCCUCUCCCCUUUCUUUUGUUGGGCCUUUUUUCGUUUGCUUUCUUUUUUCUGGGUGUCGUUGCAUCUUCGAUGCUCAUCACAAAAACGCCCGCUUUUCGUGAAUAAUUCUUUUAUUUUUGGGAAUAAUUCUUUGUACUUAGACAAUUUCUUUGGCCAACUUGGUUAAGCUAACCUUAGUUGUUUUCAUUUUAUGUAUAUAGGAAUAGGUGUUUGUGCAUAUUUGUUACUUGUUGAAUGGCUUAAGUUGAUGGGUCUCUGGUUUUGUGAUUUAUGCUUUGGUAGAGUAAUGGAUUUGAAACCUGGAGCUGGAGGGCAGAGAGUUAAUCGUUUAGUGGAUCCGAUUAGUUAUCAUUUUCUUCAAUUUCUGUGGCGUACUCUACAUCUUCUUGUCAGCUUAUGGUACCUUCAAGUUAGUAUGGUCCAAAUGAUCGAAGGCUUUCUAAUCUCUAGUGGACUUGUGAAACGCUAUGGAGCCCUCGAUAUUGACAAGGUCCGGUACCUUGCCAUUGUGGUAGAUAGUGAAGAAGCUUACCAAAUUUCUAAAGUUAUUCAGCUUUUGAAAUGGGUGGAAGAUAUGGGUGUGAAACAUUUAUGCCUCUAUGAUUCAAAAGGAGUUCUCAAGACAAACAAGAAAACCAUCAUGGAGAGUUUGAACAAUGCUAUGCCAUUUGAGGAAGCAGUUGAAAAAGAUGUUUUACUGGACCAGAAACAGAUGACUGUGGAAUUUGCUUCCAGCUCCGAUGGAAAGGAAGCAAUAACCAGGGCAGCUAACGUACUCUUUAUGAAGUAUUUGAAGUAUGCUAAAACUGGUGUAGGAAAGGAAGAACCAUGCUUUACAGAAGAUCAAAUGGAUGAGGCACUAAAAGCUAUAGGUUACAAAGGGCCGGAACCUGACUUGCUAUUAAUUUAUGGACCUGUUAGAUGCCAUCUAGGUUUCUCACCGUGGAGACUUCGAUAUACUGAGAUGGUGUAAGUGUUCUGAUUCAAUAGGUUGAUCAAGUUAGUGGCAUUAAUUUUGUCAGUUAUUCCAUUUGGCUGUUAAAGCUGGGGUAUCAUAGCUAUUUCAAAUUAUACUGCCAGUUCAAGGUGAAGGAAAUGUUUCCACAUGAAGCCAAAUACUUCAUGGUUCAUACUUCAUACUUCUUUGGUGGAUGGUACAUCUGACAUUGCACCCAUCAAUCAUUCUUGUUCUCCUUCUCUUCAACAGUCAACAGCAUUCAACUUAAUUGAUAGUAUGAAGUCUUAAUUUAUAAUAUGAAAUCAGCUAUUAAUUUUAGAUUUUAUUUUGUUUCUCUUUUUGAUAGGAGAACUCAACAAUGAUUAAAAUGUUAAUAUCUGCCAUUUUUCUGUUUGUGGUUGUUGUAAGUUGGAGGGGCAUGUAAAAAUAUUAACUAAGUUCUGGAUGAUGUUAUUUGGAAAGUUUAAUGUGUUAUUAACAUAUCAUCUUAGUUGUGAAAUUGACAGGGUUUGAAACUCGACAAUUUGUUGUUCUUGUUAUUUAAUUGUAUUCAAAUUUGAAAUUUGAUUUUAUAAUCAUUUUUCAUGUUUUGGCUCUUUUACUUUGGGUGUGCAUGUGUGUGUCGAUUGGUUUGG
This 1630-nucleotide unclassified non-coding RNA is filed under the name Hevea brasiliensis (rubber tree). The record is from RNAcentral. Lineage: Eukaryota; Viridiplantae; Streptophyta; Magnoliopsida; Malpighiales; Euphorbiaceae.